RNAcentral lists this ribosomal RNA (396 nucleotides) under uncultured bacterium. RNAcentral describes it as "bacterial SSU rRNA". It matches the Rfam family "Bacterial small subunit ribosomal RNA", at positions 29 to 429 of the family's 1533-position model. The record is from RNAcentral.
AUUAAACGCUGGCGGCAUGCCUUACACAUGCAAGUCGAACGGCAGCACGGGGGCAACCCUGGUGGCGAGUGGCGGACGGGUGAGUAAUACAUCGGAACGUGCCCUGGAGUGGGGGAUAACGCAGCGAAAGCUACGCUAAUACCGCAUAUUCUGUGAGCAGGAAAGCAGGGGAUCGCAAGACCUUGCGCUUUGGGAGCGGCCGAUGUCGGAUUAGCUAGUUGGUGGGGUAAAGGCCUACCAAGGCGACGAUCCGUAGCGGGUCUGAGAGGAUGAUCCGCCACACUGGGACUGAGACACGGCCCAGACUCCUACGGGAGGCAGCAGUGGGGAAUUUUGGACAAUGGGCGGAAGCCUGAUCCAGCCAUGCCGCGUGAGUGAAGAAGGCCUCGGUGUAAG